UACAGAGGUCCCAAGCGUUGUUCGGAUUCAUUGGGCGUAAAGGGUGCGUAGGUGGCGCCGUAAGUCAGGUGUGAAAUUUCGGAGCUUAACUCCGAAACUGCAUUUGAUACUGCGGUGCUUGAGGACUGGAGAGGAGACUGGAAUUACGGUGUAGCAGUGAAAUGCGUAGAGAUCGUAAGGAAGACCAGUGGCGAAGGCGGGUCUCGUGGACAGUUCCUGACACUGAGGCACGAAGGCCAGGGGAGCAAACGGG
Molecule: ribosomal RNA, 253 nt
Filed under: uncultured bacterium
Lineage: Bacteria
Description: partial 16S ribosomal RNA
Rfam family: Bacterial small subunit ribosomal RNA
Source: RNAcentral